RNAcentral lists this unclassified non-coding RNA (26 nucleotides) under Dictyostelium discoideum. Lineage: Eukaryota; Evosea; Eumycetozoa; Dictyosteliales; Dictyosteliaceae. The record is from RNAcentral.
GAGUUCGUUCCUCUGACUCGACACCA